Molecule: long non-coding RNA, 2485 nt
Organism: Chelonia mydas (Green sea turtle)
Lineage: Eukaryota; Metazoa; Chordata; Testudines; Cheloniidae
Exons: 4
Source: RefSeq, a predicted model, not a curated record
UCUGGGAGCUUUGCGAGUAGGUUUUUGGUCAAGCUUUGUUUGUAUUUGCAGAUGCUUCCACAUCCAGUACCGUGUCGCCUCGUUCCAUGGAGGGUCGUGACUAGUUCUGUCACGACAUAGCUGUGCAUCGGUGCCGGAUGGACGCCGACAUAUGGGAGCAAAGGCCCCUGUACAAAGGAAAAGAAGAUCUUGGGAGCGGCUGUCAAAGUUGAGUACAUAAGAAUGGCCAUAGCGGGUCAGACCAAAGGUCCAUCAAGCCCAGUAUCCUGUCCUCUGACAGCGGCCAAUGGCAGGUGCUCCAAAGGGAAUGAACGGACAGGUUAUCAUCAAGCGAUCCAUCCCGUCACCCGAUCGCAGCUUCCGGGAAACAGAGGCUAGCGACACCAUCGCUGCCCAUCCUGGCGAAAUAAGUAUCUGCCGAAGGGUUUGAUGGUCAGAAGUAUUUGUGCCAUUGAAGCUUCUUGUUUAGGAGCAGGAGUCCUCUAAACCCUGCCCAUUCUUAAUGGGCGCAUGAGGGGUGGGCAGGAGAUCGUUGCACGGAGGGAGCAUGCGUUUCCACCGAGGGAAGGUCGAUCUCUGGCAGAGUGACCUUUCCGUAACUAGAGAUGCUCCGUUCUCAGUUCUUCUCUCCUAUGCAGCACUGGGUUUACAUCACAGGUCACCGCUUCCACCUUGGGUUCUCCUCUACAUGGUGGUGGUUUUCUGAGGAGGAUGUGAGCAUCCUAGUUAGCGAUGGGUCCCAAUGUGGUGGGACACGUGGAGGGCCACCAGUAUGUGAAUGAGAGUGUUUAGGGUUGGGGGGUGCUUCUUUGAGGGGGGUGUAAUGUUUAGUAGGCAUUCCUUCUCUUAAGGAAGCAGUAUGCAGGUGAGGUCAUGUUUCAUAUUGUGUAGUCGGGUGCUUUGUGAGUCGGUUCGCAGUCCAGCUUUGUUCGUCUUUGCAGAUGCGUCCAGAUCUGGUGCCAUGUUGUUCCGUGGAUGGUCGUGACUACUUCUCUGUGACCGUGUCACGACAUUGCCGUACAGCUGUCAAUGUAUGGGAGCGAAGGCCUGUGUACAAAGGACAAGAAGAUCUUGAGAGCGGGAGCAGCUGUCAAAGUUAAGUCUCUGCCGAAGGGUUUGAUAGUCAGAAGUAUUUGUGCCGUUGAGGCUUCUUGUUUAGGGACAGAAGUCCUGCAAACUCUGCUAGUUCUUAACCGGUGUGGGAGGGAGCUCAUUGUACGGAGGGAGCGUGUGUUCUCUGUGGAGGAAGGUCGAUUGCUGGCAGAGUGACCUGUCUGUAACUAGAAAUGCUCCGUUCUCUGUUCUUCUCUCUUACACAGCACUGGGUUUGCAUCACUGGUCACCACUGCCUUGUUUGUCUGUCCUCUACUGGGUGGUGGUUUCCUCAGGAGGAUGUGAGCAUUGUAGUUAGCGAUGGCCACAGUCAGGGUGGGAAAAGGCCAUGAGUAUCGUGUAAUUUUUGAGUAUGUUGCGUCUUCAUUUUAACUGUAUAGAAGUAGUUGGUUGCUCCUUCAUUGUGGGUAUGAAUGUGUCAGGGCUUUUUUGGGGUGUUGAAUAGGUCAGUUUAGCAAUGGGAAUGUGGUAUUGCGCCGUUGCGGCAUUUAGCAAUAAUGUGGCAUUUAUCGUUUGCGUGCCACAGGGGGAUUGGAGUCCAGAACCGAGGGAAUAGGCUGGGGCAAGCGCAGCCCGUUUGGUCUACGUGGUGCCAGCGGGAGCAGAGGAGCUGGUUGCGUCCAUGAGGUACUUAAGAGGCUUCAGGAGGUGCGGUUUGGAAAAGAAUGUCGUGCAAGUGUCUAAGGAUAAUGAGCUGAUGAUGAAAACGUGAUGAAAUGAAGAGUAGAUAAUGUGGGUGCAUCCGGGGACAUGGAAAUGUGACAGUCCUGUGUGGCGGUAGAGGAAAUCGUUGUUUGGUCGAGGUUCUGUGCAAAGACGGGGUCCAAUUUGGCAAAGAACCAGUGAAGUUGAAGUAUGACUGUGGGGGGCAUGAAGUACUUGUUUCCCAAAAUGGAAGUUGGAGUCAAUGUCAGGUUUGCAAGUUAAGUAUGGUUAUUGAUCAUGGUAUUUUUGUUGGUCUGUUCUAUGUUGAAGAUGGGAAAUGUGUUUCACUGGGUGCAUGUCAAUGGGAAUUUCAUGUGCUUUUGUUGUGUGUGUUUUAGAAUCUGAGAUGUUUAGGAUUUGUUCUACAGCAGUUGAAUGUGUGAUCCUGUUUUUGAUCCUCAUAGGAAGCUAUUUCCGUCCGUGUGGUCUGAAGGUAUCGGUGUUACUGGAGAAGACCCUCGUUUGGAAGAAUUGGGGUUUGAACGUAUAUUUUUUGGGUUGCGAUGUGAAGUGUCCUCUGUUCGAUGGCUAGAAUGUAGUAGAGCAGUGGGGCUGGUGUCACUGUGUUCUGCUAUCUAACAGAUGUUACGAAUUACAUCUGGUAGGACACGCACACAUGUGCUACGAAUUACAGCUGGUAGGACACGCACACAUGUGCUAACUUUUC